CAGUAGCCGCGGUAAAACGUAGGGUGCAGGCGUUAAUCGGAAUUACUGGGCGUAAAGCGUGCGCAGGCGGUUUGUUAAGACAGAUGUGAAAUCCCCGGGCUCAACCUGGGAACUGCAUUUGUGACUGGCAAGCUAGAGUGUGGCAGAGGGGGGUGGAAUUCCGCGUGUAGCAGCGAAAUGCGUAGAUAUGCGGAGGAACACCGAUGGCGAAGGCAGCCCCCUGGGCCAACACUGACGCUCAUGCGCGAAAGCGUGGGGAGCAAACAGGAUUAGAUACCCGAUAGUCCCUGUCUCUUAUACA
RNAcentral lists this ribosomal RNA (301 nucleotides) under uncultured bacterium. RNAcentral describes it as "partial 16S ribosomal RNA". It matches the Rfam family "Bacterial small subunit ribosomal RNA", at positions 509 to 808 of the family's 1533-position model. The record is from RNAcentral.